UGACGAGUCGUCGUGAGUUAACGAUAUCUUUUUCUUGACGCACUUUCGGUUAUUUUCUGGGGAGAGAACGGGUUAUUUAGGGAUGCACCAAUCCGAUAAGAACAGUUUAUUUAUUGGAUUGUGCAUCCCUGGUUUAAGUAUUCGUUCAUAUUUUUGCUUUACUUUACUUGUGUUAUGUUUUGAGGUUUUUUUGUUGUUGUUGUUGUUGUUAUUGUUUUUGUUGUUUGUUUUUUUUUUUUUUUACAAAGCCGUACCUUGGGAUGAACAAUCCUGUCGGCAUCAUUUCCUGUUUGCUGAUUUCCUGAUGUUGUGAAGCAGUGCUGCGUUGUUGUAGUUCGAUAUGCACUUUUAGCUGUUUGCUGGAGAAAAAUAAAAACCGAAACCGUGUCAUUCACUCUAUCCUGUACAGAACACUCGGCUCGGACGCCGUCCCGCUCACAGCGGGCGCAGUGCGGUAAUCGAGACAGGUUUGCGAUGUCUGUGUGUGUGUAAGGGUUUAGUGAGUAAAAAGCUUCCUUUACCCGUGCAAACCUCGACAAACUCACAUCAGACACCAAACACGGAGUUCCAGCAGGAUCACCGGAACGUUAAAUGAACAGCUCUGCAUUUGUGUAAAAACACGUGAUCGCUGAACUCGUGCACGGUUUAGAAUAUUCGCUUUAAGUUCCUGGUCGAUAUUCAGCUUUCAGCACAUUACUCACGUUAUAAAAAUGCAGGUGGGAAACAUUUUAAGGGGAAAUAUUCCAGGUACUCAGUAAAAAAAAAUUCCUCUACCUGUUUUCUGUACCUGUUAGAUUUCCCGGAGUAUUUAUCACCUGUUUUCUUUGUUUCGCAACUACAGAAAAAAUAACGUUCCAACUUUUACGCUGCUUAAUUUUUAUUUUAAUGUUUUCCAGCAUCGUUUAAAAUUAUUAUUAUUAUUUUUUAAUCACAUAAACAUGGGUUCUGGUUCUGGUUCUGGUUCUGGUGGAUCUGACUCCACGCCAUAUAAAGGUUUUAGGUUGAUCACCACAUCACUGAGGUUCGGUGGGGAAAAAGAAGUAAAGUAGAUUUAUAGCUAAUAUCUCCUCUUAUCUAUGUGUCAUUGCAUCUUAA
Molecule: long non-coding RNA, 1095 nt
Organism: Ictalurus punctatus (channel catfish)
Lineage: Eukaryota; Metazoa; Chordata; Actinopteri; Siluriformes; Ictaluridae
Source: Ensembl